UAAGGAUUGUGUAUCCACUUGGGGACCUUC
Molecule: non-coding RNA, 30 nt
Filed under: Homo sapiens (human)
Lineage: Eukaryota; Metazoa; Chordata; Mammalia; Primates; Hominidae
Source: RNAcentral